CUGUGAUCUGGUUCAAGUAAUCCAGGAUAGGCUGUGUGUAUGUUUGUGAGCCUACUCGUGAUUACUUGCACUGGGCUGCAG
Gasterosteus aculeatus (three-spined stickleback) is the source of this 81-nucleotide microRNA precursor. It matches the Rfam family "mir-26 microRNA precursor family". Rfam says of the family: The hairpin precursors (represented here) are predicted based on base pairing and cross-species conservation -- their extents are not known. In this case the mature sequence is excised from the 5' arm of the hairpin. NCBI's taxonomy places the organism in Eukaryota, Metazoa, Chordata, Actinopteri, Perciformes, Gasterosteidae. The record is from Rfam.